GUGACCGCUCAGGCCAGGACCUGGAUGCUAUCUACUCCAGGCUCAAGGAUGUGAGGGCUUUUGAAAAAUUCCACCCCAUGUUGCUACAACAGAUCUGUUACUAUGGUUACUAUGAAGAUCUAGAUCCUGGGAUUAUAUUGUUCAGGCAGGGGGAUAUUGGCACAAACUGGUAUGCUGUCUUAACAGGAAGUUUGGAAGUCAGAAUCUCAGAGACAGGAAAUCAGAAGGAUGAAGUCACAUUAUGCACC
Molecule: long non-coding RNA, 248 nt
Organism: Lingula anatina
Lineage: Eukaryota; Metazoa; Brachiopoda; Lingulata; Lingulida; Lingulidae
Source: RefSeq, a predicted model, not a curated record